UCCCUGAUUGUCCAGGAUCUAAGACUCUGCACUCUCAAUGCAGUGGAACCAGGUUCGAUCCCUGGUCAGGGAA
RNAcentral lists this transfer RNA (73 nucleotides) under Bos taurus (domestic cattle). It matches the Rfam family "tRNA". From Rfam's summary of the family: Transfer RNA (tRNA) molecules are approximately 80 nucleotides in length. Their secondary structure includes four short double-helical elements and three loops (D, anti-codon, and T loops). The record is from Rfam by way of RNAcentral. Lineage: Eukaryota; Metazoa; Chordata; Mammalia; Artiodactyla; Bovidae. RNAcentral also lists the same sequence under 4 other names.